CCUACGGGAGGCAGCAGUGGGGAAUAUUGCGCAAUGGGCGAAAGCCUGACGCAGCGACGCCGCGUGAGGGAUGAAGGUCUUCGGAUCGUAAACCUCUGUCAGCAGGGAAGAACGGUCACUGUGCUAAUCAGCAGUGAAUUGACGGUACCUGCAAAGGAAGCACCGGCUAACUCCGUGCCAGCAGCCGCGGUAAUACGGAGGGUGCGAGCGUUAAUCGGAAUUACUGGGCGUAAAGCGCUCGUAGGCGGUAUGUCAAGUCACGGGUGAAAUCCCCGGGCUCAACGUGGGAACUGACUUUGAAACUGGCAAACUGGAGUGUAGUAGAGGAUAGUGGAAUUCCAGGUGUAGGAGUGAAAUGCGUAGAGAUCUGGAGGAACAUCAGUGGCGAAGGCGACUAUCUGGCACAUAACUGACGCUGAGGAGCGAAAGCGUGGGUAGCAAACAGGAUUAGAUACCCCUGUAGUC
This 465-nucleotide ribosomal RNA is filed under the name uncultured bacterium. RNAcentral's name for it is "partial 16S ribosomal RNA". It matches the Rfam family "Bacterial small subunit ribosomal RNA", at positions 338 to 795 of the family's 1533-position model. The record is from RNAcentral.